GAUGAACGCUGGCGGCGUGCUUAACACAUGCAAGUCGAACGGAAACGCCCUGCUUUUGUGGGGUGCUCGAGUGGCGAACGGGUGUGUAACACGUGAGUAACCUCCCCUUGACUUUGGGGUAACUUCAGGAAACUGGGGCUACUACCGGCUAGGAGCUCCUGCUGCAUGGUGGGGGUAGGAAAGUUUCGGCGGGUGGGGAUGGACUCGCGGCUUAUCAGCUUGUUGGUGGGGUAGUGGCCUACCAAGGCUUUGGCGGGUAGCCGGCCUGGGAGGGUGGACAGCCACAUUGGGACUGAGAGACGGCGCAGACUCCGACGGUAGGCAGCAGUGGGAAAUAUUACACAGUGGGCCGAAGCCUGAUGCAACAACGCCGCGUGCGGAAUGACGUCCUGCGGGUUGUAAACCGCUUUCGCCUAUGACGAAGCGUGAGUGACGGUAAUGGAUAAAGAAGCACCGGCUAACUACGUG
This 468-nucleotide ribosomal RNA is filed under the name uncultured bacterium. RNAcentral's name for it is "partial 16S ribosomal RNA". It matches the Rfam family "Bacterial small subunit ribosomal RNA", at positions 28 to 507 of the family's 1533-position model. The record is from RNAcentral.